This 96-nucleotide transfer RNA is filed under the name Armillaria gallica. RNAcentral describes it as "tRNA-Val". Lineage: Eukaryota; Fungi; Basidiomycota; Agaricomycetes; Agaricales; Physalacriaceae. The record is from RNAcentral.
GGGUCGAUGGCGUAGCUGGUUAUCGCAUCUGUCUAACAUGGAGAUUGGCCUGUAGUUGUACACAGAAGGUCCUCAGUUCGAACCUGGGUCGACUCA